AAAGGAGAAUGGUCGGGAUAGCUCAGC
This 27-nucleotide transfer RNA is filed under the name Halophytum ameghinoi. RNAcentral describes it as "partial tRNA-Phe". Lineage: Eukaryota; Viridiplantae; Streptophyta; Magnoliopsida; Caryophyllales; Halophytaceae. The record is from RNAcentral.